UGGCGUAAGGUACUCUUGCAUC
Molecule: non-coding RNA, 22 nt
Filed under: Arabidopsis thaliana (thale cress)
Lineage: Eukaryota; Viridiplantae; Streptophyta; Magnoliopsida; Brassicales; Brassicaceae
Source: RNAcentral